This 301-nucleotide ribosomal RNA is filed under the name uncultured bacterium. RNAcentral's name for it is "partial 16S ribosomal RNA". It matches the Rfam family "Bacterial small subunit ribosomal RNA", at positions 509 to 807 of the family's 1533-position model. The record is from RNAcentral.
CAGCCGCCGCGGUAAUACGGAGGGUGCAAGCGUUAAUCGGAAUUACUGGGCGUAAAGCGCACGCAGGCGGUCUGUCAAGUCAGAUGUGAAAUCCCCGGGCUUAACCUGGGAACUGCAUUUGAAACUGGCAGGCUAGAGUCUUGUAGAGGGGGGUAGAAUUCCAGGUGUAGCGGUGAAAUGCGUAGAGAUCUGGAGGAAUACCGGUGGCGAAGGCGGCCCCCUGGACAAAGACUGACGCUCAGGUGCGAAAGCGUGGGGAGCAAACAGGAUGAGAUACCCCUGUAGUCCCUGUCUCUUAUAC